GGUUCCGCUGCCCAAACUUGCAAGUUCGAAGCGGCAGAAGGGAGCUCGCUCCCGGAUGUUAGCGGCGGACGGGUGAGUAACACGUGGGUAACCUGCCUGUAAGACUGGGAUAACUCCGGGAAACCGGAGCUAAUACCGGAUAGUUCCUUGAACCGCAUGGUUCAAGGAUGAAAGACGGUUUCGGCUGUCACUUACAGAUGGACCCGCGGCGCAUUAGCUAGUUGGUGGGGUAAUGGCUCACCAAGGCGACGAUGCGUAGCCGACCUGAGAGGGUGAUCGGCCACACUGGGACUGAGACACGGCCCAGACUCCUACGGGAGGCAGCAGUAGGGAAUCUUCCGCAAUGGACGAAAGUCUGACGGAGCAACGCCGCGUGAGUGAUGAAGGUUUUCGGAUCGUAAAGCUCUGUUGUUAGGGAAGAACAAGUGCGAGAGUAACUGCUCGCACCUUGACGGUACCUAACCAGAAAGCCACGGCUAACUACGUGCCAGCAGCCGCGGUAAUAUGUAGGUGGCAAGCGUUGUCUGGAAUUAUUGGGCGUAAAGGUGCUCGCAGCGCGGUUUCUUAAGUCUGAUGUGAAAGCCCCCGGCUCAACCGGGGAGGGUCAUUGGAAACUGGGAAACUUGAGUGCAGAAGAGGAGAGUGGAAUUCCACGUGUAGCGGUGAAAUGCGUAGAGAUGUGGAGGAACACCAGUGGCGAAGGCGACUCUCUGGUCUGUAACUGACGCUGAGGAGCGAAAGCGUGGGGAGCGAACAGGAUUAGAUACCCUGGUAGUCCACGCCGUAAACGAUGAGUGCUAAGUGUUAGGGGGUUUCCGCCCCUUAGUGCUGCAGCUAACGCAUUAAGCACUCCGCCUGGGGGAGUACGGUCGCAAGACUGAAACUCAAAGGAAUUGACGGGGGCCCGCACAAGCGGUGGAGCAUGUGGUUUAAUUCGAAGCAACGCGAAGAACCUUACCAGGUCUUGACAUCCUCUGACAACCCUAGAGAUAGGGCUUUCCCUUCGGGGACAGAGUGACAGGUGGUGCAUGGUUGUCGUCAGCUCGUGUCGUGAGAUGUUGGGUUAAGUCCCGCAACGAGCGCAACCCUUGAUCUUAGUUGCCAGCAUUUAGUUGGGCACUCUAAGGUGACUGCCGGUGACAAACCGGAGGAAGGUGGGGAUGACGUCAAAUCAUCAUGCCCCUUAUGACCUGGGCUACACACGUGCUACAAUGGACAGAACAAAGGGCUGCAAGACCGCAAGGUUUAGCCAAUCCCAUAAAUCUGUUCUCAGUUCGGAUCGCAGUCUGCAACUCGACUGCGUGAAGCUGGAAUCGCUAGUAAUCGCGGAUCAGCAUGCCGCGGUGAAUACGUUCCCGGGCCCUUGUACAACACCGCCCGUCACAACCACGAGAAGUUUGCAACCAACCCGAAAGUCGGUGGAGGUAAACCUUUAAGGAGCCAAGCCGCCGAAAGUGACGU
Molecule: ribosomal RNA, 1461 nt
Filed under: Bacillus pumilus
Lineage: Bacteria; Bacillati; Bacillota; Bacilli; Caryophanales; Bacillaceae
Description: bacterial SSU rRNA
Rfam family: Bacterial small subunit ribosomal RNA
Source: RNAcentral